UGUAAUAAUCUCACCAAUAGAUAAACUGCGAGCCUGCUCGCAGGCGGAGCGGUUUAUCUAUUGAGGGAGUAAACGGAAAUGAGCAAGUAAGCCGUUCGCCUUUUGAACGGCUGGAUUGCGAAUUUCCGUCAGAAUUUUCGGAAGUGCUCCGCACUCUCGAAAAUUCUGUUAUUGCA
This 176-nucleotide small RNA is filed under the name Firmicutes bacterium CAG:882. Its description in RNAcentral is "Clostridiales-1 RNA". It matches the Rfam family "Clostridiales-1 RNA". The record is from Rfam by way of RNAcentral. Lineage: Bacteria; Bacillati; Bacillota.